Molecule: ribosomal RNA, 509 nt
Filed under: uncultured bacterium
Lineage: Bacteria
Description: bacterial SSU rRNA
Rfam family: Bacterial small subunit ribosomal RNA
Source: RNAcentral
CCAGAGAUGGAUUGGUGCCUUCGGGAACUUAGAUACAGGUGCUGCAUGGCUGUCGUCAGCUCGUGUCGUGAGAUGUUGGGUUAAGUCCCGNAACGAGCGCAACCCUUUUCCUAUUUGCCAGCGGGUCAUGCCGGGAACUUUAAGGAUACUGCCAGUGACAAACUGGAGGAAGGCGGGGACGACGUCAAGUCAUCAUGGCCCUUACGGCCAGGGCUACACACGUGCUACAAUGGUCGGUACAAAGGGUUGCUACCUCGCGAGAGGAUGCUAAUCUCAAAAAGCCGAUCGUAGUCCGGAUCGCAGUCUGCAACUCGACUGCGUGAAGUCGGAAUCGCUAGUAAUCGCGGAUCAGAAUGCCGCGGUGAAUACGUUCCCGGGCCUUGUACACACCGCCCGUCACACCAUGGGAGUUUGUUGCACCAGAAGUAGGUAGUCUAACCGCAAGGAGGACGCUUACCACGGUGUGGCCGAUGACUGGGGUGAAGUCGUAACAAGGUAGGCGUAGAUGA